This 497-nucleotide ribosomal RNA is filed under the name uncultured bacterium. RNAcentral's name for it is "partial 16S ribosomal RNA". It matches the Rfam family "Bacterial small subunit ribosomal RNA", at positions 28 to 507 of the family's 1533-position model. The record is from RNAcentral.
GAUGAACGCUGGCGGCGUGCCUAAUACAUGCAAGUCGAGCGAACAGACGAGGAGCUUGCUCCUUUGACGUUAGCGGCGGACGGGUGAGUAACACGUAGGUAACCUACCUAUAAGACUGGGAUAACUUCGGGAAACCGGAGCUAAUACCGGAUAAUAUUUCGAACCGCAUGGUUCGAUAGUGAAAGAUGGCUUUGCUAUCACUUAUAGCUGGACCUGCGCCGUAUUAGCUAGUUGGUAAGGUAACGGCUUACCAAGGCAACGAUUCGUAGCCGACCUGAGAGGGUGAUAGGCCACACUGGAACUGGGACAGGGUCCAGACUCCUACGGGAGGCAGCAGUAGGGAAUGUUCCGCAAUGGGCGAAAGCCUGACGGAGCAACGCCGCGUGAGUGAUGAAGGUCUUCGGAUCGUAAAACUCUGUUAUUAGGGAAGAACAAACGUGUAAGUAACUGUGCACGUCGUGACGGUACCUAAUCAGAAAGCCACGGCUAACUACGUG